UCAGAUGUUGGGGUGGAUGCAGCACGAAGCACUUGGGCUGUGCUGGCAUCCUAUUCUGGGAGCAGGGUGGGCUGCCAGGCGCUGCUCAGGGGUGAAUUCCACCCACGGGGCAGGCGUUUCCAAGAGCACCAUGACGUGGGCUCGGCUUACAGCUCGGCUUUCAAGCCACCCGCACAAAAUGUAGAGGCAGCGGUGUCAGGAACCCUCCCUGACAGCUCCUUUCAGGAGGGGAUGCUGUGAGGAGCUGUCACGCUCUGAGUCAGCUGUUCUUCCAGGCCUGGCAUUCCAGGCAGGAAGAGCCUGCUUGAAGAACCAUCCCAACCACGCCGCCUGCCAAAACCACACUGGGAAUCCCAUGGGAACCAGCCCUCUCCCGGGCCAGCUGGUACUUCCUGCUCCCGAGGCCUGAUCCUGCUGGAUGCUGAGCAUUCUUUGUUCCAUUUUUAAAUUAAUGAGGCUCCAGCAAUGCACGGUCCCAGAGCCCGGGGAAGAAACAGCCCCUCGGUGUUUUCAGCACUUUGGCCCAGCUGGAGAGGAGAGGGAAAUGUCAGGCUUGAAGAGAUGCCUGGAGAACAGAUCCAUAACCUGGAGAUUUUAGCCAGGUUCUCCGAGCUGGCCAUGCCCCCACACACAGCUCUCCUCCCCACAGGCUGUGACUCCCAAAGCUGGCAGCCCCAUCUCUGCAGAGAAGGAUGAGGAUCACAGCGUGGGACUCGCUCCCAUCCUGUCCCAACAGUGUCCCCUUGAGGCUGGUGCUGAGGCAGCCCGGGAAGAGCUCUCGUGGAGGUGCAGGGGAACCCCAGAAGCUGCUCCAAACAACAAAUCCAUCCCAGCAGCUGCGGAUCAGCCUGAGUGAAGGAUGCUGGAGGAGCCCACCCCACAGCGGGUGUGGGACCUCCACACUAGGGAGAACCACUCAGGAAUACCUUGGAUGUCUAAGUUGCUGCAGAGAGCUAAUUCCUCCAGGUGACUCCAGGCAGCGAUAAGUGGGCUCCUGCACAGCGAGGGGUUUGAAGUGCCAGAGCUGAAAGCGCUCCCAGCUCCGGCACGCCAGGCCUCCAGCAGGGGACACAGCCUCAGAUGUCACAGCACGGGGGCAGCAGGGGCCUCUGGAGCUGUCAUUUCCAACCUGCAUUUCCAACUGCAGGGCCAGGCACGGGCUUGAGAUGCCCUGUGCCCCCAGGGAAAAGGCUGAAGGAUAUUGGGGGAAAAGAUAUUUAGAAGAUAUUGGGGAAUAAAAAUCAGUGCCCUGAAGGGAUAAAUGUUGGG
This 1269-nucleotide long non-coding RNA is filed under the name Junco hyemalis (dark-eyed junco). Its description in RNAcentral is "lncRNA (ENSJHYG00000000312.1)". Lineage: Eukaryota; Metazoa; Chordata; Aves; Passeriformes; Passerellidae. The record is from RNAcentral.